GUUAGUGUGGCGUAAUGGUUUGAGUGUUGGACUAUGACUCUAGAGACCAGGGUUCAAUUCUCAGCUCAGCCA
Non-coding RNA from Phrynosoma platyrhinos (Desert horned lizard), 72 nucleotides. Lineage: Eukaryota; Metazoa; Chordata; Lepidosauria; Squamata; Phrynosomatidae. The record is from the annotation of a GenBank genome assembly.